Molecule: non-coding RNA, 28 nt
Filed under: Rattus norvegicus (Norway rat)
Lineage: Eukaryota; Metazoa; Chordata; Mammalia; Rodentia; Muridae
Source: RNAcentral
UGGCCCCUCAUUUCUUUCCAUCAUGCAG